AACGCUGUCAAUAAAUUUUUUUCGAAAGAAAAAAAAAUCUGUUCUUAUCAGUUUAAUAUCUGAUACGUGCCCUACCCGGGCACUAUAGAUUGAACUGGAUAAAUGGAUCCUGCGAGAGAAAAGACGCAAUGGCCGACCAUGCUGGUGCGGCUGAAAAAUA
Danio rerio (zebrafish) is the source of this 160-nucleotide non-coding RNA. NCBI's taxonomy places the organism in Eukaryota, Metazoa, Chordata, Actinopteri, Cypriniformes, Danionidae. The record is from Rfam.